CAACAUAUCUCCACCCAGGGCGGAAGAAUAAUAGCUUAAGAGGGCGUGUUCACAGACAGUGUGUCAGGUUGUGGUGGCGGAAGUAGGACUCUCAACACAACUCAUCAACGAUGAACCUACCUGGGAAGGUGCAGGCGAUUGAACACAGGACGAAACAAUCAGAGACACGGAAGACAAUCAGUAUCACACGGGAAAGCCAACAUGGCAAGAAGUGAAGAAAGGCAGGAAACUACAAAAUGAAACAGGAACCAAACCGCCACCGUGACACAGAGGAGUACAAAGGGUGGACAAAUAUACUGAAUCUGGGUGUAUGUGUGGUCAAAGAACAACAUAUUCCAGUUAGACAAUUGAAUUUCCCAGAAACUAUCUUAAUCCCAAGUGGAGAUUAAAAAUCGAACCUGUGAUUAAAUUGAAGCGGCACGGAGUGUUAAUUGAGACAAACACCUGUAAUCAUUGCCAUGGAGCGGCUUGCUUCCCUUGAAAUAAAGGACUUGACCUUGAAUCAAUGAGAUAUUUUAAUCCUUUUAUAAAUGGUAAAUAAAGAGGGUGGUAUCAAAAAGUAUGUAAGAGACUUUACUUUUUCGCCUGAAAUAAAACACAGAUACUGUUACAUCACAUUGGCCCACAUGUUUAAUGUGGGAUGCAAAUGUCUAAACUGUCAGAUAAAACACACCGUACGAAUGUUUCACACAGAUGACCACCGCACUGACCUCUAAAUACCUAGUUGGACACAUGAUUCAACCAAAAGGACUUGAUCUUAACACAAUUUUAAUUUUAAAGUUCAUAAUGAUCAUCUGGAUUAGGAAGACAUCCACACGGUCACCUAUACUCACUGUGUAAAAGCAUGUCAAUUAUUUAUUUUUUACGCACAAAAUCAUAUGUCAGGUAAAGAUUCUUUAUAAAUAAUACUGUUUUACUGAGUCCUUUAUGGUUGAGUAAAUAUUGAAAUAGAUUUUUUUUCAUUCUAGUCACAAAGUUCUGUGUUGUUUUUCACUUUCAGUGAGAGACAACACGUAAGGAGAAGUCUACUCUGUCUGUUCACGCCUGCACAUUUCAAAACCCCUACAGACUUUCUGUCUUUGAUUAAGCUGCCAAGAGGCUGAACGCAAACUAUUGGGUAAUGCCUGCAGGGAGAGCAGAAGAGCGAUACGACGAUACGUCUUCUUCUCUCUCAAGUCUUAAGGCUUCUCAAUGUUUUUCUUUCUGCCUUUUAAUUUCCCAUUCAAUAUCUUAGAAAUGAAUAUCAGUGUUUCUACCCUCACCUCAU
Long non-coding RNA from Gasterosteus aculeatus aculeatus (three-spined stickleback), 1267 nucleotides. The record is from Ensembl. NCBI's taxonomy places the organism in Eukaryota, Metazoa, Chordata, Actinopteri, Perciformes, Gasterosteidae.